CCUUUGGAGUGUCAUACCAAACAUGAGUAGAUUUAUAUCAAAAAUGGACACGUUGAACAAGGAA
Molecule: small RNA, 64 nt
Filed under: bovine gut metagenome
Description: RAGATH-18 RNA
Rfam family: RAGATH-18 RNA
About the family: Actinobacteria, Firmicutes, Fusobacteria, Thermotogae (1 example). Nearby to self-cleaving ribozyme genes
Source: RNAcentral